RNAcentral lists this ribosomal RNA (492 nucleotides) under uncultured bacterium. RNAcentral's name for it is "partial 16S ribosomal RNA". It matches the Rfam family "Bacterial small subunit ribosomal RNA", at positions 29 to 507 of the family's 1533-position model. The record is from RNAcentral.
AGUGAACGCUGGCGGUAGGCCUAACACAUGCAAGUCGAACGGCAGCACAGUAAGAGCUUGCUCUUACGGGUGGCGAGUGGCGGACGGGUGAGGAAUACAUCGGAAUCUACUUUUUCGUGGGGGAUAACGUAGGGAAACUUACGCUAAUACCGCAUACGACCUACGGGUGAAAGCAGAGGAUCUUCGGACCUUGCGCGAUUGAAUGAGCCGAUGUCGGAUUAGCUAGUUGGCGGGGUAAAGGCCCACCAAGGCGACGAUCCGUAGCUGGUCUGAGAGGAUGAUCAGCCACACUGGAACUGAGACACGGUCCAGACUCCUACGGGAGGCAGCAGUGGGGAAUAUUGGACAAUGGACGCAAGCCUGAUCCAGCCAUACCGCGUGGGUGAAGAAGGCCUUCGGGUUGUAAAGCCCUUUUGUUGGGAAAGAAAAGCAGCAGGUUAAUACCCCGCUGUUCUGACGGUACCCAAAGAAUAAGCACCGGCUAACUUCGUG